This 429-nucleotide ribosomal RNA is filed under the name Neisseria sicca. RNAcentral's name for it is "bacterial SSU rRNA". It matches the Rfam family "Bacterial small subunit ribosomal RNA", at positions 30 to 441 of the family's 1533-position model. The record is from RNAcentral. Lineage: Bacteria; Pseudomonadati; Pseudomonadota; Betaproteobacteria; Neisseriales; Neisseriaceae.
AUUGAACGCUGGCGGCAUGCUUUACACAUGCAAGUCGGACGGCAGCACAGAGAAGCUUGCUUCUUGGGUGGCGAGUGGCGAACGGGUGAGUAACAUAUCGGAACGUACCGGGCAGUGGGGGAUAACUAAUCGAAAGAUUAGCUAAUACCGCAUAUCUUCUGAGGAAGAAAGCAGGGGACCAUUUGGCCUUGCGCUGUUUGAGCGGCCGAUAUCUGAUUAGCUAGUUGGUGGGGUAAAGGCCUACCAAGGCGACGAUCAGUAGCGGGUCUGAGAGGAUGAUCCGCCACACUGGGACUGAGACACGGCCCAGACUCCUACGGGAGGCAGCAGUGGGGAAUUUUGGGACAAUGGGCGCAAGCCCUGAUCCCAGCCCAUGCCGCGUGUUCUGAAAGAAAGGGCCCUUUCGGGGUUGUAAAGGAACUUUUGUUC